Molecule: ribosomal RNA, 230 nt
Filed under: uncultured bacterium
Lineage: Bacteria
Description: partial 16S ribosomal RNA
Rfam family: Bacterial small subunit ribosomal RNA
Source: RNAcentral
AAAGGGUCCGUAGGCGGUUUAAUAAGUCAGUGGUGAAAUCUGGUCGCUCAACGAUCAAACGGCCAUUGAUACUGUUAGACUUGAAUUAUAAGGAAGUAACUAGAAUAUGUAGUGUAGCGGUGAAAUGCUUAGAUAUUACAUGGAAUACCAAUUGCGAAGGCAGGUUACUACUUAUGGAUUGACGCUGAUGGACGAAAGCGUGGGGAGCGAACAGGAUUAGAUACCCUAGU